Molecule: long non-coding RNA, 185 nt
Organism: Oxyura jamaicensis (ruddy duck)
Lineage: Eukaryota; Metazoa; Chordata; Aves; Anseriformes; Anatidae
Exons: 3
Source: RefSeq, a predicted model, not a curated record
GCCAAGGCACUACAAGCAGAACAACCUGCACUGCCACCAGGCGUGCCCCGAGGGCUCCGUGCAGCCCGGCCACCUGUGGAGCUGCUAAACCAGGGUCCUGCUCCCGGGGUCGCCCUGCAGAGGGAGUCCCACCUUGGUGCCCACCGAGCGGGGUGCCCGGGUGGGCAGCCUCACCUGCUUGCAAC